Non-coding RNA from Phrynosoma platyrhinos (Desert horned lizard), 71 nucleotides. NCBI's taxonomy places the organism in Eukaryota, Metazoa, Chordata, Lepidosauria, Squamata, Phrynosomatidae. The record is from the annotation of a GenBank genome assembly.
GCCAGCAUGGUAUAGUGGUUUGAAUGUUGGAUUUUGACUCUAGAGAUCAGGGUUCAAUUCCCAGCUAGGCC